Molecule: ribosomal RNA, 487 nt
Filed under: Eunotoperla sp. BYU_PL102
Lineage: Eukaryota; Metazoa; Arthropoda; Insecta; Plecoptera; Gripopterygidae
Description: partial 16S ribosomal RNA
Rfam family: Archaeal large subunit ribosomal RNA
Source: RNAcentral
UUUAUUAAGUCUGACCUGCCCACUGAAAUUAAUUUUAAAGGGCCGCGGUAUUUUGACCGUGCAAAGGUAGCAUAAUAAUUAGUCUUUUAAUUGAAGGCUAGAAUGACUGGUUGGACGAGGUAUUGACUGUCUCUGUGCAAAUGAAAUUAGAAUUUAACUUUUGAGUGAAAAGGCUUAAAUGUUUUUAGAGGACGAGAAGACCCCAUAGAGCUUUAUAAUGGGUUUUUUAUAAUUUGUUUAGUGUUUUUUUUAUUAUAUUAAGUUAAUUAUUUUGUUGGGGAGACAGGAAGAUUAAAUAAACUCUUCUUAAAAUUUAAACAUAUAUGAGUGAAUUUUUGAUCCAUUUUUAGUGAUUAUAGGUCUAAGUUACCUUGGGGAUAACAGCGUAAUCUUUUUUAAGAGUUCUUAUCGACAAAAAGGGUUGCGACCUCGAUGUUGGAUUAAGGGUAAUUUUGGGAGCAGAUGCUCAAAAUUAGGUCGUACCUAC